Molecule: ribosomal RNA, 433 nt
Filed under: uncultured bacterium
Lineage: Bacteria
Description: partial 16S ribosomal RNA
Rfam family: Bacterial small subunit ribosomal RNA
Source: RNAcentral
AACGAACGCUGGCGGCAUGCCUAACACAUGCAAGUCGAACGAGACCUUCGGGUCUAGUGGCGCACGGGUGCGUAACGCGUGGGAAUCUGCCCUUGGGUUCGGAAUAACAGUGAGAAAUUACUGCUAAUACCGGAUGAUGUCUUCGGACCAAAGAUUUAUCGCCCAGGGAUGAGCCCGCGUAGGAUUAGCUAGUUGGUGGGGUAAUGGCCUACCAAGGCGACGAUCCUUAGCUGGUCUGAGAGGAUGAUCAGCCACACUGGGACUGAGACACGGCCCAGACUCCUACGGGAGGCAGCAGAGGGGAAUAUUGGACAAUGGGCGCAAGCCUGAUCCAGCAAUGCCGCGUGAGUGAUGAAGGCCUUAGGGUUGUAAAGCUCUUUUACCCGGGAUGAUAAUGACAGUACCGGGAGAAUAAGCUCCGGCUAACUCCGUG